Molecule: RNA transcript, 1038 nt
Organism: Sinocyclocheilus grahami
Lineage: Eukaryota; Metazoa; Chordata; Actinopteri; Cypriniformes; Cyprinidae
Gene name: endoplasmic reticulum metallopeptidase 1-like
Exons: 5
Source: RefSeq, a predicted model, not a curated record
AAAUACAUGUGUCUGUGUGUUAGAUCUGCUCUCUUGUUCUGUACUGUAAUGCUUGACUUCGACUGUUGUAUUGUUUUUGUAAUGCUGCAGAAGAGCAAUUUAAUGAAAGAUGCCAAUGGUCCGCGACAACAUCCUGUCUGUCCUCAAGCACCUGGUGAUGUCAGAUGAACUGGCGGAUUCCUCAGAGUAUCGCCAUGGUAACAUGGUGUUCUUCGACCUGCUGGGAUUGAUGAUGGUGGCGUAUCCUGCUCACGUUGGCACCGUCAUCAACUACAUGGUGGCCGUCGCUGUGGUGAUCUACCUGGGAGGGAAAUGCUUGUUAACCAGCAGUGUGGGGUGUGUUUUGGCGCAUCACAUGAUCUGUGCAGCUGGCCGGUACAUGCGUGAUCUGGUGUGUGCGGUGUGUGUGCUGGUCUUGAGCUGGUUCUUCUCUCUGCUGAUGGUUCUGCUGGUGGCUUGGCUCGUCACGCUGAUGGGCCGCUCCAUGUUCUGGUACAGUCACCUAGACGCUGCCGUCUAUCUGUACGGAUCUGCCACUGUUGGCAUUCUCCUGCUGAUCCACACACUGGUUAAGAACCGCUGCUACAGGGAGCAUCUCUUCAGUACUCCAUCCUGUACCUGACGGGUCUUGCUGUGCCGUAUGUCUACAUCAUGUCCCUCAUCCGGGUGGUUUUUGAGGUCUUUACACCCAUUCAGGGUCGCAGCAAAGACAAAAUCCCACCCGACAUCAUCCUGGCAUCACUUGUUACCCUGGCAACCGUAAUUCUGUCUUCCUAUUUUAUUCAUUUCAUCUAUCUGUCCCACAGUACGAAGCGGGUCUUGGCUGUUCUGGGGUCAGUGUUCACGCUGAUGUUUGUUCUGGUCAGCUGUGGUUUGUUCUUCCCGUUUUCUGCCGAGCUGUCCAGCCCACGACCCAAACGCGUCUUUGUCCAGGUACAGGCAUCACUGAUCUGUCUUUACAGCAGGGUUUUUACACUACUGAAACUCAGACCAUAAAAUAUUCUCCUUACUUUAAGCUUUUUUUUUAAAUACGUUUUU